Molecule: long non-coding RNA, 630 nt
Filed under: Homo sapiens (human)
Lineage: Eukaryota; Metazoa; Chordata; Mammalia; Primates; Hominidae
Source: RNAcentral
UCUGCCCUCAGCCCUCAGCUGGACUAGGUGUGCCAUGGGUGGCUUUCACAUUGGGUGCAAAAGUCUAGAUGCGGGGAAUGCGGUGGCAACUGAAAACUCAGGGAUGCCAGCAACCACAGAGCCCCAGUGGGUGUCACACCUCUCACUCAGGGAGUCCUGAGGUCUGAGCCCCCAAGAAAUGUGGAUUUUGUAGUUUGGCAAGCCAGCCAGGAGGGAAUGGCACCCAACUGCUUCGCUUCUUUAUGCCACAGCUAGGCAAACGGGGGUGUGAUACAGCUCUCUCUGAUGCCCACAGCUUGGCGGAUGGGGGUGUGUUACAGCUCGUUUGUUCCUGCCACCCGCUGCUUGGUGAACGGGGAUGCAUGCUGCCCAGUGGUUUUUCCACUUCCUAGCUUGGGGAACAGGAAUGCAUGUUACAGCUCUUUUUGCACCUGCCAUUCCGCGGUUCCGAGUUCUUGUCCCACAAACAAGAGGAAUGAGGCUCAUGUGAACACGCUUGGAAUUCAUUACUUUUAUCAGUGGGGAGUUGCAAAUAAAACAAGCAGGAGAGUCUUGGUGACAGUAUUACAAACCUGGAAGGACACAUGUUGAAUUACAAGCAGAUUCACUGAAACGCUCAGCCGUUUUCAC